Molecule: long non-coding RNA, 7011 nt
Organism: Oreochromis aureus
Lineage: Eukaryota; Metazoa; Chordata; Actinopteri; Cichliformes; Cichlidae
Source: Ensembl
AAAUCCAAAAGCCGACCGCGCGGAUGGCAGCGGUGGCGAAGUGGAAACAGUUCAGGGGGCCGUCCGUGCACACGGCAACGGGCAAACAGUUCAGGGGGCCGACCGUGCACACGGCAACGGUGGCGACGGGCAAACAGUUCAGGGGGCCGACCGUGCACACGGCAACGGCGGCGACGGGCAAACAGUUCAGGGGGCCGACCGUGCACACGGCAACGGCGGCGACGGGCAAACAGUUCGGGUGGCCGACCGUGCACACGGCAACGGCGGUGGCAGAGCAGGUCCGGAGGUUGGCCGCGAAGCCAGCGGUGGCGGCGAGUUCUUUCAGGAGGCCGCCCUCGACGGCCAUGAUGCCAGCUUAGAGGCCUGGAAAGCGGCCAACAAGGAUGAGGUGGCACAGGGCGAGCUGGCUCUGACGGCAGUGUUGACGAGGCUGAGGCUGACUCGGAGGCUGCAGCCGGAGCUGGACCAGGCGAGGCAGGAACAGAUGCUGAAGCCGGACCAGGCGGCGAGGCAGGAACAGAUGCUGAGGCCGGACCAGGCGAUGAGGCAGGAACAGAUGCUGAGGCCGGACCAGGCGACGAGGCAGGAACAGAUGCUGAGGCCAGACCAGGCGGCGAGGAUGAAGGCGCGGAGGCUGCAGCUGGCGAGGAUGAAGGCGCGGAGGCUGCAGCUGGCGAGGAUGAAGGCUCGGAGGCUGCAGCUGGCGAGGAUGAAGGCGUUGCGGGGGCUGGGCCAGGCGACGCUGAAGACGAAGCAGACUCGGAGGCUGGACCAGGCGAGGGUGGAGCUGACGCAGAGGCUGCGGCUGCUGCAGGCGUGGAUGAAGCCGCGGCUGCUGCAGGCGGCGCGGGUGAAGCUGAAGCUGGACCAGGCGACGCGGAUGAAGCUGCGGCUGGACCAGGCUUGGGUGAAGCUGCGGCUGGACCAUGCGACGGCGUGGGUGAUGCAGCUGAUGAGGAGGCUGCUGCAGGCGGCGCUGAAGCAGAUGAGGAGGCUGCUGCAGGCGGCGUGAUUGGAGCUGCUGCUGCUGCAGGCGGCGUGGAUGUAGCUGAUGAGGAGGCUGCUGCAGGCAGCGCUGAAGCAGAUGAGGCUGCUGCAGGCGGCGUGAUUGGAGCUGCUGCUGCUGCAGGCAGCGUGGAUGUAGCUGAUGAGGAGGCUGCUGCAGGCGGCGCUGAAGCAGAUGGCCGGACGGGCUCCUCGGGCCCCCCAGCAGACGAGGCAGGAGGCCGGAAGGGCUCCUCGGGCCCCCCAGCAGACGAGGCAGGAGGCCGGAGCGGUCCCUCGGACCCUCCAGCGGAGACAGGAGGCCGGAGCGGUCCCUCGGACCCUCCAGCUAACGAGGCAGGAGGCUGGAUGGGCUCCUCAGAACCCCCAGCGGACAUGAAGACGGGCUGGCCGGGCUCUCCAGAACCCCCAGCGGACAUGAGGACGGGCUGGACGGGCUCUCCAGAACCCCCAGCGGAAACGGUCACUGAACCAGCGGGCACAGGGGCCCCCGGCACACACACGGCUGACCGCAGCUGCACGGAGCACUGACCCUGCUCAGGCAGCAACAGCCGGGUGCAGUCCUCAGCUGGGCCUUUAGCCUCCAGGGGUCCAGAGCGGGCUAAGGGCUGAAACUCAGCCUCUGGGGAGGCCCUGGAGUUCAUCACAGUCACUGAAAUGGCCAGCUUUUGAGGACUGGUUACAAUACUAUGCGGUUUGUCUCUCUGCUUAGAAUGAACAGACGAAACACAGUUCUUUUCGGGUUGAAAUGACUUGCAUUGUUGUACAGGUGGAGCAACAGACACAGGACGCAGGGCUAGUGGCUGCUGAAGAGGAGGCUGGACUGAGGGUGACUGAAAUAAUGGUUGGGACGACAAUGGUGGUGAAGUUGGAGACUGAGCUGAUGGUAAGGGAGAUGAUUCUUUUACCAACUGAGCUAUUGACUGGGCUAUGGAUUCUAACAUCGUUUGCAGUAAGUCUGGCUCUGGUAGUGACAGAGCUAUGGGUUGCGAGGCAGAACGUGAUGGAGGUGACGACUGAGCGGCUAACUGAGCUUGUGGCUGCCGUGCGGCUAACUGAGCUCCUAGAGGCUGGGCAGCUAAGUGAGCUCCUAGAGGCUGGGCAGCUAAGUGAGCUCCUAGAGGCUGGGCAGCUAAGUGAGCUCCUGGAGGCUGGGCAGCUAAGUGAGCUCCUGGAGGCUGGGCAGCUAAGUGAGCUACUAGAGGGUGGGCAGCUAAGUGAGCUCCUGGAGGGUGGGCAGCUAAGUGAGCUCCUGGAAACACAUUCUUAUAAUCGACAGUAGCAGGUGAGCCAGGGAAAACACCAUAGUCCUUACUGGCGGCACAGAAAACGGCGGGCCGGGCCGCAGAUUCCCCGGCGGGCAGAGCAAAACAUUCGCCGCCGGGCUGGGUUGGGAAGCGGUAGCGGUUGAAGGGUGAAGGUGAAGCUCGUUCAGAAUGAAGUCCUGUGCGAGCGGAUGAAGAGAGUCCAGUAGCCAGGGGUGAGCAGAGAUUAAGUGCUGUAGCCUGGCUUCUACAGCGCGGUGAAAUUCCUCUCCCUCAUGUUCGAGCCACAGAUUGACCAAUCGUGAGACAGAGUCAAUUACCUCCUCCCGAAACUCCUGGGAGGGCGCGGAUGCUGCUGGGUCCAUGUUUGGUCGGCUCGUACUGUCACGGCUGGGGCAGCAGUCGUGUUGUGGAAUGAAAGGAGGACCCAAAAUGCAGGCAGCCGACUGAUGAUGUGAGUGAGUUUAUUUACACAGUGGCAGGGUGACAAAAACGGGCAAUAAAGUAUGAGCAGCUACUAAAGCAGACCUAAACUGGGAUAAACUAAAGAGCAAACCUGAAGUAAUACGAAACGGAGAAUGCAGAGAGACACAGAGAGACGCUGAUGAACGCAGAGGUACACAGAGAUACACAGACGAGCCGACGCCAGGCACAGACUGACACCCACUAUAUAUACACACACAAACAAGGAGACCAGGUAAUGACAUACAGGUGGGAGCACAGCUGAUUCUAAUACACAAGACGACCUGAGGAUACAAGCUGAACACGAUAACAGACACAGACCUUCAGAACAGAACAGGAAAUCCAGAACACGAGCCUUCAAAGUAAAACAGGAAACCUACAGACUGUUUUACAAUACGAGGACAUGACAGAGCACCGAGGACAGACACAGGUAGGGCUGAUAAAACACUGAGCUCCAGAUUCAACCCUAAACUACUACAAAAUCAGAAUAAACACAAGGCACAAAGUGAACUCCAAGGAAACACAAAACGCUGGGUCAAAAUGACCCAGGAUCAUGACAUUCUCAGCCUGUAGGGGAAAGUAAGGGGGUGAAUAAAUUGUCCUAUCUGCCCAGCCAUAGCUGGACUGGCCAUCGGGCAUACCGGGCAUUUGCCCGGUGGGCCGAUGGUGAUUUUUCGUUUUUAUUGGCCGAUGGGGUUUUUUUUUUUUUUCGUUUUUUCCCGUAACGGUAUAGACACUGAAAGGUGGUGGAUUGGCCAGAUGCUGGGAGAUGUGUAAAAAUAACUCAAUUGUUUGGUGGUGGCUAUGGGGGAGCUUCCACAGAUUCAGUAACAUUAGCAAGUGGUGGAGGCCAGCAGAUGCAACACGCUGGCAGGUGGAUGACAGAAAGGCAGGAGGAGCAGAGACCCGAGGCGGUGAACUGAACUUCAGGUAAGAAGUUAUGACCUGCAGUCUAUCUGGGUCAGAUAUAAACCAAGUUUAGGUGGAGUUUAUUUUCGUUAUGCUGACUUUUUACAGUCAGUUACAAUAACUCGUACUGCGUGCUAGGUAGCAUGACGGAGUUUAUAUACUGCUGGGCGGGUGCUGUGAUAUUAUUGAUGUUGAACUUGUUUUAUCUUAUUUAUAAGGUUUGUUGUUAGAGUUUCCAACCGUCCAGUAAAAAACGGAAUCGUCUCGUAUUCAGAGAAAAUAUUGCGCGUUUCGUAUUGAGGUGAAAAGGAACAGUUUGUCCUGGACUUCAGCUACAAUGAAAAAAACACAAAGCUGGAGUUACUCUGUGUCUUUGCUGCACAGCUGCUGCUUCUUCUUUCAUUCUCUCCCCCUCCCUCUCCUGUUUCUACUUCAAUCAUGAAACUGAUCAAUGAUCAGCUGAUCAGCUUUUCUCUCUUGUUUAUUUAUCGCCCACUUUGCGCCAGUAAGAGGAAACCAGCGGAUGUCGCGCUAAACAACAGCAGCACGUUUAAGCUUGAUCAGCUGUUGUUAAAAUUUAUUUAAUAUUAAUUUCUAGUAUCAGCUGAUGUUUGCUGGAGCAACAGCUGUAAAAGCUGCUGGUCAUGAUGGUUUGUAUAUCUGGUGAGAGGGAAACAUGAAGAUGAAACCAGGAGAUGUCCUUACUGAAUCAUCAGAGCUGAACAGGUGAUGGAGAAACAGGUUUUCCUUUUAGGUGACAUGGAUGAGUUGAAGGGAAGUUAUGAACUGUCCUGUGUGCUGUUGUUUGUAUAUGUGUCUUUUUGGCUGCUGUUACAACCAAAUUUCCCCUUGUGGGACAAUUAAAGGAUUAUUCUAUUCUAUUCUAUUCUAAAUUAAGUCCUCAACAUGUCUUGAAGUUCUCCAGAUUCCUGGUAAUGAACUAAUCAUUUGAUUCAGGUGUGUUUACCCAGGGUGAGAUCUAAAACCUGAAGAGCAACGGCCCUCAAGGCCUGGAGUUCCACGCCCAUUUUAGAAUAUGACGCGUCAACAAUAAAAUUCCGCACUGAUGAAUUUUUAUAGUUGACUUCAUCGAUUAUGGUGACAAAUUGUUCAACUGUUUUGAACAAAAUGCGGUAAUUUGCAAAACAUGCUGUUAAACCAGGGGUGGGCAACUCCAGGCCUCGAGGGCCGGUGUCCUGCAGGUUUUAGAUGUGUCCUUGACCCAACACAGCUGAUUCAAAUGGCUAAAUGAGCUCCUCAACAUGUCUUGAAGUUCUCCAGAGGCCUGGUAAUGAACUAAUCAUUUGAUUCAGCUGUGCUGACCCAGGGUGAGAUCUAAAACUUGCAGGACACCGGCCCUCGAGGCCUGGAGUUGCCCACCCUUGUGUUAAACUAUUGCUGCAAAAGGUAACAGCACCACAAAUUUAUUCCACCAGCUCAAAAGUCAUCCACUGCAAAAUUAAGACUGUUUUAAACUGCACAAGUCAACGUCUCCCCACACACACCAAAGAAAACGCUAAAUAAAGGAGCUGUCAAUCCUGUGACUGUUCUUGGUCAAUCGUCUGUAAUUUGAAGUCAUUUACAUUUUUUAUUGUACUAUUUUUAUAUCUUCUAAGCACAAAUAACACCUUUUUAAUUUCAGUUGUUUUAUUUUGUCUCAUGAAUUCUUGCUUGAUGUACUUUUUUGCUGCUAUGAUCUGUUGUUUGUUAAAGGUCUAGUGUUGACCACAGAAAGAGACUUACUGUGAAAAACCUCAGUGUGGAACUGAUGGUUAAAAAUUGGUUAAAAUAAAACAUUUUCAUUCAUUCGGAUAAUUUGUUUUCAAAAUAGAAAAAAAUAUUGAAUGGUUGAUUUGAAUGAGUAUACCAGUGCAAUUUUAGGCACUAUAUGCUUCAAAAUAACAUUUGUUUUUAUAGGUUAUUUAAACAUAUCAUGAUAUAUUGGAUUAAAUUCAAUUUACUUUUACAGCGCCAACUCACAACAACAGUCACCUCAAGGCACUUUAUAUUAAAAGGUAGACCCUACCUUAUAUAUUGUGUAUCAAAAUACCAAAAAAUAUUGCAAUAUUAGAUUUUCCUCAUAUCGCCCUGCCCUACCUGGAACUCUCAACCAUUUGAUUUUAGACUCAAGAAGCCUGUUGGAUGUUAGGUGAAACAUCUUUACAAACCUAAAGACAUCCAGUUAUCUCUCGAGGUGUGGAAGGAACCACGAACAAAAGAAAGGGUGACUGACUUAUAGCUUUUGUACUUUCAUGCAGAAGUGCUUACUAUCUAACAUUCGUACUCUGAUGGAUGCGUCACAGAGCAACUUAGGGUUAGUAUCUUCCCCAAGGACAUUUGGCCUGCAGAUGGAGACGCCAGGAAUCAAACCAGCAACCUUCAGAUUAGUAGAUGACCUGCUCUACCUCCUGAACUACAGCCACUGAAACAACAGCUGCCAGUGAGGUUCCAGACAAACUGGUAAUCCCACAUUCUUUUGCUGCGGUCUCUCUCACACAAAACAUUCGUCUCAGCUCUCCAAUCUCCAAGGCAGAAAGAUAAAGGUGAGCUGCUUUUCCUAGAAACAAGCAGUGCAAAAACAUCUACCACAGAAGCCUGGCUAGACUAACUGUAGUAGUUCAAUGAUCCAGUGCACAAACCCAAAAGGGAGAGCGCCGGAUGAGUCCUGGCCUGAAACACAGAGUGGGCUUAAUACACAAAUUAACAAGGAGAGAGGAGAGAGAGAGGUGUCGAGCCAGCACAGGAGGACUGAGGGACUGUGGCAAUUUUUUAAAUUAAGACCUUUUUAAAUUACUAAAAUAUAAAUGUCCAGGGUGAGGUCUCUAAAUUAUUUGUCCAAAAGUGUAAUAUGUGUGGUAAAAUAUUUACAGGUCCAUUACAAUUACCCUACAACAAAUACACACACAUUUUCAUUUAGUAGUUUUUAUAUAUUAUAUAUUAUGUUUAUGAUAUUGUGAAAUAAUUAUAGAACAAAUAUAGAUACAGAGUAGGCCUAUCUCUUGAUUUUUUUAUGACACAAGGGUUUUUUAGUGCACUAGCUUUUCUAAACUGCUACAAUUAAGAAUUAGAAAACACAGACACACACACACCCAAGAAAAGCAGUUCUUGUUGACUAAGAUGAACAGGUAUGCAGACCGAAUAUUUUUAUAGGUUCUCUCGUGUUUUGUUCAAACAGCUGUACUUUGACAGAUAGAUGACCUGUGCGCGCAAGUGCCAAUCAGAGCAAAACAGAAAAAGUGAGACCUGGGACGACAAGGGUAAAGUUAUAUCUUGUAGCAGGUAGUGAGAUAUAGAAACCUUUUAAAAUAGUAGUGUCAUUCUGCCAUCUGCUGGAGAAAAUAUGACAUCAAACCUGCAUAAUGGGUUAUAU